RNAcentral lists this ribosomal RNA (758 nucleotides) under Salmonella enterica. Its description in RNAcentral is "partial 23S ribosomal RNA". It matches the Rfam family "Bacterial large subunit ribosomal RNA", at positions 711 to 1381 of the family's 2925-position model. Lineage: Bacteria; Pseudomonadati; Pseudomonadota; Gammaproteobacteria; Enterobacterales; Enterobacteriaceae. The record is from RNAcentral.
AGACCCGAAACCCGGUGAUCUAGCCAUGGGCAGGUUGAAGGUUGGGUAACACUAACUGGAGGACCGAACCGACUAAUGUUGAAAAAUUAGCGGAUGACCUGUGGCUGGGGGUGAAAGGCCAAUCAAACCGGGAGAUAGCUGGUUCUCCCCGAAAGCUAUUUAGGUAGCGCCUCGUGAAUUCAUCUCCGGGGGUAGAGCACUGUUUCGGCUAGGGGGCCAUCCCGGCUUACCAACCCGAUGCAAACUGCGAAUACCGGAGAAUGUUAUCACGGGAGACACACGGCGGGUGCUAACGUCCGUCGUGAAGAGGGAAACAACCCAGACCGCCAGCUAAGGUCCCAAAGUCAUGGUUAAGUGGGAAACGAUGUGGGAAGGCCCAGACAGCCAGGAUGUUGGCUUAGAAGCAGCCAUCAUUUAAAGAAAGCGUAAUAGCUCACUGGUCGAGUCGGCCUGCGCGGAAGAUGUAACGGGGCUAAACCAUGCACCGAAGCUGCGGCAGCGAACGUAUCACCCAAGACAACUUUACGGAGUUGACGAUUGACGGAGCGAAGCGACGUCAAAGCGUUCAUUAAAGUCGAGUUGGCUUAGGGAUACGUUCGUUGGGUAGGGGAGCGUUCUGUAAGCCUGUGAAGGUGUGUCGUGAGGCAUGCUGGAGGUAUCAGAAGUGCGAAUGCUGACAUAAGUAACGAUAAAGCGGGUGAAAAGCCCGCUCGCCGGAAGACCAAGGGUUCCUGUCCAACGUUAAUCGGGGCAGGGUG